UGACUUUCAUCAUCUUCUUGGCUAGCCUCCCUGUAUGAAUCAUUGGUUAGAAUAUCAUCUUUUAUAUCAAAAUUAUCUUUGCUCAAACAAUCAAUGAUAUUUGAAUUAUCAACAAGUUCUGUUUGAUCUGUUUGUUGGGACAAACAGUGUUCUGGUUGUGUUUCUUCAGCAACUCGUUCUAGUACUUGCCAUCUUUCAUCAGCUUCACGCUCUUCCUCUUUUCUUACCAUGUCUUCUCUCCAUUUGGCGGCUACUCGAUCCACUUCCUGUUGGAGAUUGUGCAAAGUUUCCAACAUCUUACGAAAAUUAG
Molecule: long non-coding RNA, 310 nt
Filed under: Manihot esculenta (cassava)
Lineage: Eukaryota; Viridiplantae; Streptophyta; Magnoliopsida; Malpighiales; Euphorbiaceae
Description: long non-coding RNA (MESC_LNC007728)
Source: RNAcentral